This 429-nucleotide ribosomal RNA is filed under the name uncultured Actinomycetes bacterium. Its description in RNAcentral is "bacterial SSU rRNA". It matches the Rfam family "Bacterial small subunit ribosomal RNA", at positions 917 to 1348 of the family's 1533-position model. The record is from RNAcentral. Lineage: Bacteria; Bacillati; Actinomycetota; Actinomycetes.
GGGCCCGCACAAGCGGCGGAGCAUGCGGAUUAAUUCGAUGCAACGCGAAGAACCUUACCAAGGCUUGACAUACACCGGAAACUUCCAGAGAUGGUUGCCCCGCAAGGUCGGUGUACAGGUGGUGCAUGGUUGUCGUCAGCUCGUGUCGUGAGAUGUUGGGUUAAGUCCCGCAACGAGCGCAACCCUCGUCGCAUGUUGCCAGCACGUAAUGGUGGGGACUCAUGUGAGACUGCCGGGGUCAACUCGGAGGAAGGUGGGGAUGACGUCAAAUCAUCAUGCCCCUUAUGUCUUGGGCUUCACGCAUGCUACAAUGGCCGGUACAAAGGGCUGCGAUGUCGUAAGGCGGAGCGAAUCCCAAAAAGCCGGUCUCAGUUCGGAUUGAGGUCUGCAACUCGACCUCAUGAAGUCGGAGUCGCUAGUAAUCGCAGA